Molecule: ribosomal RNA, 497 nt
Filed under: uncultured bacterium
Lineage: Bacteria
Description: partial 16S ribosomal RNA
Rfam family: Bacterial small subunit ribosomal RNA
Source: RNAcentral
GAUGAACGCUGGCGGCGUGCCUAAUACAUGCAAGUCGAGCGAACAGAUGAGGAGCUUGCUCCUCUGACGUUAGCGGCGGACGGGUGAGUAACACGUGGAUAACCUACCUAUAAGACUGGGAUAGCUUCGGGAAACCGGAGCUAAUACCGGAUAAUAUAUUGAACCGCAUGGUUCAAUAGUGAAAGACGGUUUUGCUGUCACUUAUGGAUGGAUCCGCGCCGCAUUAGCUAGUUGGUAAGGUAACGGCUUACCAAGGCAACGAUGCGUAGCCGACCUGAGAGGGUGAUCGGCCACACUGGAACUGAGACACGGUCCAGACUCCUACGGGAGGCAGCAGUAGGGAAUCUUCCGCAAUGGGCGAAAGCCUGACGGAGCAACGCCGCGUGAGUGAUGAAGGUCUUCGGAUCGUAAAACUCUGUUAUUAGGGAAGAACAAAUGUGUAAGUAACUAUGCACGUCUUGACGGUACCUAAUCAGAAAGCCACGGCUAACUACGUG